UACGUAGGGUGCAAGCGUUAAUCGGAAUUACUGGGCGUAAAGCGUGCGCAGGCGGUUUUGUAAGUCAGAUGUGAAAUCCCCGGGCUUAACCUGGGAACUGCAUUGGUGACUGGCAGGCUUUGAGUGUGGCAGAGGGAGGUAGAAUUCCACGUGUAGCAGUGAAAUGCGUAGAGAUGUGGAGGAACACCAGUGGCGAAGGCGGCUUUCUGGUCUGUAACUGACGCUGAGGCGCGAAAGCGUGGGGAGCAAACAGG
This 254-nucleotide ribosomal RNA is filed under the name uncultured bacterium. RNAcentral's name for it is "partial 16S ribosomal RNA". It matches the Rfam family "Bacterial small subunit ribosomal RNA", at positions 524 to 776 of the family's 1533-position model. The record is from RNAcentral.